AGACCCGAAACCCGGUGAUCUAGCCAUGGGCAGGUUGAAGGUUGGGUAACACUAACUGGAGGACCGAACCGACUAAUGUUGAAAAAUUAGCGGAUGACCUGUGGCUGGGGGUGAAAGGCCAAUCAAACCGGGAGAUAGCUGGUUCUCCCCGAAAGCUAUUUAGGUAGCGCCUCGUGAAUUCAUCUCCGGGGGUAGAGCACUGUUUCGGCUAGGGGGCCAUCCCGGCUUACCAACCCGAUGCAAACUGCGAAUACCGGAGAAUGUUAUCACGGGAGACACACGGCGGGUGCUAACGUCCGUCGUGAAGAGGGAAACAACCCAGACCGCCAGCUAAGGUCCCAAAGUCAUGGUUAAGUGGGAAACGAUGUGGGAAGGCCCAGACAGCCAGGAUGUUGGCUUAGAAGCAGCCAUCAUUUAAAGAAAGCGUAAUAGCUCACUGGUCGAGUCGGCCUGCGCGGAAGAUGUAACGGGGCUAAACCAUGCACCGAAGCUGCGGCAGCGAACGUAUCACCCAAGACAACUUUACGGAGUUGACGAUUGACGGAGCGAAGCGACGUCAAAGCGUUCAUUAAAGUCGAGUUGGCUUAGG
Molecule: ribosomal RNA, 589 nt
Filed under: Salmonella enterica
Lineage: Bacteria; Pseudomonadati; Pseudomonadota; Gammaproteobacteria; Enterobacterales; Enterobacteriaceae
Also listed under: 2 other names
Description: partial 23S ribosomal RNA
Rfam family: Bacterial large subunit ribosomal RNA
Source: RNAcentral